CAGGAACCUCUCUGCUGCUUUUCUAACCACACCCAGGAGUAGAGCGCAUGGCUGGACUUCCAUGGAAUAUAUGACGGCUCUUUCCUGCUCAGUUUCCUAAUCAGCAGAAUGAUAGCUAUGCUCCCACACUCUGCAGGCUGAGCCUCUUUUCUGAAGAAAAUGCAGAGGAACCAAAUGUGUUUUGGCCAGGGAAGAGAUGGUCAUGUGUAUCGCUUAGGAAGUUCAUCCUGACCGUUGUACACAGGUUAGCUGGGAGGACAGCAAGACAAGAGUCAUGGAGACCCUUCUCAUGGCUCCAGCAGGCCACCGAAACGAGACCAUCUCCUAGAUGGAAGGGCAGCUGACAGCAAUGGCAUCCUAUGCAGCCCACACUGGGGAAAGCCUUCCAGAAAAUUUUGUGGAACAGAGAAGGAAGGAGACAGAUCGUUUUCAGCCUGAACAGAGGCCUUCCAAAAGUCUUCCCGAAUUAUCCCGAGGGGCUUCAGAUGGGCUCAUCAGCUGCCUUUGGAACAGCAUCAGGUAGGGGGUCCCAGCUCCUCUAAGAGCACAGGUGAGGGGUCCGUGGUCUCUGCUUCACUAUGCAUCCCACCUGCUGCUCAGAGCUCU
Felis catus (domestic cat) is the source of this 606-nucleotide long non-coding RNA. RefSeq lists it as uncharacterized. The transcript is spliced from 3 exons. NCBI's taxonomy places the organism in Eukaryota, Metazoa, Chordata, Mammalia, Carnivora, Felidae. The record is from RefSeq and is a predicted model, not a curated record.